Long non-coding RNA from Spea bombifrons (plains spadefoot toad), 161 nucleotides. RefSeq lists it as uncharacterized. The record is from RefSeq and is a predicted model, not a curated record. The transcript is spliced from 2 exons. NCBI's taxonomy places the organism in Eukaryota, Metazoa, Chordata, Amphibia, Anura, Pelobatidae.
UGACCACCGGAAGAAAACAAAAAAUGCUACAUUAAAAUGUAAAUCUGAAGUAUCAAGUACAAUGUACUUUAAAAACCAGGCUAUUGAUAUUCAUGAAUAUGAGAAUUAUUGGUAUCACACAUACCAGGUGCAUUUGUGCCCCCCUUCUGUUAAGAUGGUUA